RNAcentral lists this ribosomal RNA (504 nucleotides) under uncultured bacterium. Its description in RNAcentral is "partial 16S ribosomal RNA". It matches the Rfam family "Bacterial small subunit ribosomal RNA", at positions 30 to 523 of the family's 1533-position model. The record is from RNAcentral.
AUUGAACGCUGGCGGCAUGCCUUACACAUGCAAGUCGAACGGCAGCAUGGAGAGCUUGCUCUCUGAUGGCGAGUGGCGAACGGGUGAGUAAUGCAUCGGAACGUACCGUGUAAUGGGGGAUAACGUAGCGAAAGUUACGCUAAUACCGCAUACGACCUGAGGUGGAAAGCAGGGUGUCGCAAGACCUUGCGUUAUACGAACGGCCGAUGUCAGAUUAGCUAGUUGGGAGGGUAAAGGCUCACCAAGGCGGCGAGCUGUAGCGGGUCUGAGAGGAUGAUCCGCCACCAUGGGACUGAGACACGGCCCAGACUCCUACGGGAGGCAGCAGUGGGGAAUAUUGGACAAUGGGCGCAAGCCUGAUCCAGCCAUGCCGCGUGAGUGAAGAAGGCCCUCGGGUUGUAAAGCUCUUUUGUCCGGAAAGAAAAGCAUCCAGUUAAUACCUGGGUGUCCUGACGGUACCGGAAGAAUAAGCACCGGCUAACUUCGUGCCAGCCGCCGCGGUAA